RNAcentral lists this ribosomal RNA (1351 nucleotides) under metagenome. RNAcentral's name for it is "bacterial LSU rRNA". It matches the Rfam family "Bacterial large subunit ribosomal RNA", at positions 1564 to 2925 of the family's 2925-position model. The record is from RNAcentral.
UGAGUGCGAGCUGCUACGGCAGCGAAGUUGGUGACGUCAUGCUUCCAAGAAAAGCCCUAUACCCGUUAAGGCAUCAUGGCCUGUACCCGAAACCGACACAGGUGGGGUGGUAGAGAAUACCGAGGGGCGCGAGGUAACUCUCUCUAAGGAACUCGGCAAAAUGGCCCCGUAACUUCGGGAGAAGGGGUGCCACCGCAAGGUGGUCGCAGUGAAGAGGCCCAGGCGACUGUUUACCAAAAACACAGGUCUCCGCUAAGUCGCAAGACGAUGUAUGGGGGCUGACGCCUGCCCAGUGCCGGAAGGUUAAGGAAGCUGGUCAGCGCAAGCGAAGCUAGCGACUGAAGCCCCGGUGAACGGCGGCCGUAACUAUAACGGUCCUAAGGUAGCGAAAUUCCUUGUCGGGUAAGUUCCGACCCGCACGAAAGGCGUAACGAUCUGGGCGCUGUCUCGGAGAGAGGCUCGGCGAAAUAGAAUUGUCUGUGAAGAUGCGGACUACGUGCACCCGGACAGAAAGACCCUAUGAAGCUUUACUGUAGCUUGGUAUUGUGCCCGGGCUCGCAAUGCGCAGGAUAGGUGGGAGGCUUUGAUCAUCGGCUUGCGGGUCGAUGUGAGCCAACGGUGAGAUACCACUCUUUGCGAGCUAGGGUUCUAACGGCCACCCGUCAUCCGGGGGCCGGACAGUACCUGGUGGGCAGUUUGACUGGGGCGGUCGCCUCCUAAAAGGUAACGGAGGCGCGCAAAGGUUUGCUCAGGCUGGUUGGAAAUCAGCCGACGAGUGUAAAAGCAGAAGCAAGCUUGACUGUGAGACCAACAAGUCGAACAGGGAGGAAACUCGGCUUUAGUGAUCCGACGGUUCUGAGUGGAAGGGCCGUCGCUCAACGGAUAAAAGUUACUCUAGGGAUAACAGGCUGAUCUCCCCCAAGAGUUCACAUCGACGGGGAGGUUUGGCACCUCGAUGUCGGCUCAUCGCAACCUGGGGCUGAAGUCGGUCCCAAGGGUUGGGCUGUUCGCCCAUUAAAGCGGUACGCGAGCUGGGUUCAGAACGUCGUGAGACAGUUCGGUCCAUAUCCGGUGCACGCGCAGGAAUAUUGAGAGGAUUUCUCCCUAGUACGAGAGGACCGGGAGGAACGCACCUCUGGUGUACCAGUUAUCGUGCCAACGGUAAACGCUGGGUAGCCAUGUGCGGAGUGGAUAACCGCUGAAAGCAUCUAAGUGGGAAGCCCACCUCAAGAUGAGUAUUCCCAUGGCGUAAGCCAGUAAGGUCACGGGAAGAACACCCGUUGAUAGGCUCUAUGUGGAAGCGCAGUAAUGCGUGAAGCAGAGGAGUACUAAUAGACCGAGGGCUUGACCG